GCCAGGUGUGGUGGCAGGCACCUGUAAUCCCAGCUACUCAGGAGGCUGAGGCAGGAGAAUCGCUUGAACCCGGGAAGUGGAGGUUGCAGUGAGCCGAGAUCGCGCCACUGCACUCCAGCCUGGGUAACAGAGUGAGACUCUGCCUCAA
Molecule: unclassified non-coding RNA, 148 nt
Organism: Papio anubis (olive baboon)
Lineage: Eukaryota; Metazoa; Chordata; Mammalia; Primates; Cercopithecidae
Rfam family: Metazoan signal recognition particle RNA
About the family: The signal recognition particle (SRP) is a universally conserved ribonucleoprotein. It is involved in the co-translational targeting of proteins to membranes.
Source: Ensembl